Molecule: transfer RNA, 58 nt
Filed under: Cryptomonas curvata
Lineage: Eukaryota; Cryptophyceae; Cryptomonadales; Cryptomonadaceae
Description: partial tRNA
Rfam family: tRNA
About the family: Transfer RNA (tRNA) molecules are approximately 80 nucleotides in length. Their secondary structure includes four short double-helical elements and three loops (D, anti-codon, and T loops).
Source: RNAcentral
GGGAUAUAACGCAGUGGUAGCGUGUUUGCUUUGCAAGCAAAAAGUCAUGAGUUCGAAU